GGUCAAGAAACUAAGGGCGCAAGGCGGAUGCCUUGGCACCAGGAGGCGAAGAAGGACGUGACAAGCAACGAAAACCUCGAGUAGGAGCAAAUAUCCAGUGACUCGGGGGAAUCCGAAUGGGGAAACCUACUAGACACACUCUAGUAUCCAUACGUGAAUCAAUAGCGUAUGGAGGCGAAUGUUCUGAACUGAAACAUCUAAGUAGGAACAAGAAAAGAAAGAAAACUCGAUUCUCCAAGUAGCGGCGAGCGAACAGAGACAAGCCCAUUAAAGUAAGACUAAACUGAUAGACAAAUCUUAUGGAAAGAAGAACCAAAGAAAGUAACAGUCUUGUAGUCGAAAUCAGAAUAGAGACACUUUAAGAAGAGUACCACGGAGCACGUGAAAUUCUGUGGGAAGAUAGGGGGACCACCCCCUAAGGCUAAAUACUACCUGGUGACCGAUAGCGAAUAGUACCGUGAGGGAAAGGUGAAAAGAACCCCGGGAGGGGAGUGAAACAGAACCUGAAACCUUGCGCCUACAAGCAGACAGAGGAAGAAGACUUCUAAUGUCGUACUUUUUGUAGAACGGGCCAGCGAGUUACGAUACGUAGCAAGAUUAAACAUUUAAGAUGUGAAGUCGCAGGGAAACCGAGUCUUAAUAGGGCAGAAGUUAUGUGUUGUAGACCCGAAACCGGGUGAUCUAUCCAUGGGCAGAGUGAAGGUAAAGUAAAAUUUACUGGAGGCUCGAACCGGGUAGCGUUUAAAAGCUAUCGGAUGACCUGUGGAUAGGGGUGAAAAGCCAAUCGAACUCGGAUAUAGCUGGUUCUCCUCGAAAUAGCUUUAGGGCUAGCCUUGUUUUAGAUUACAGGAGGUAGAGCACUGAAUAGUCUAGGGGAAGUAAUUCUACCGAAACUUAUCAAACUCCGAAUGCCUGAAAAUCGAUGAACAGGAGUCAGACCAUGAGGGAUAAGCUUCAUAGUCAAAAGGGAAACAGCCCAGACCACCAGUUAAGGUCCCAAAAUACAGAUUAAGUGGGAAAGGAUGUAAUACUACUCAGACAACCAGGAUGUUGGCUCAGAAGCAGCCAUACAUUUAAAGAGUGCGUAAUAGCUCACUGGUCAAGUGGUAAUGCGCCGAAGAUGAACGGGGCUAAAUCUGAUACCGAAACUGUGGGAUAGAAAAGCAAUUAUGCGAGAAGUAUGAAGAAAAGUGAUUAGGAAAUAUAUCAACUAGUAAAGUAAGAGAGAAAGACAUAAAUAAAAACUAUUAAACGAUACAAUUUCUAAAACACUUAACAACAUACAACUGGCAUAAUAGCUUUUCUAUCGGUAGAGGAGCGUUGUAUAUGAAUAGAAGCAAAAAGCGUAAGCAAUUGUGGAUUAUAUACAAGUGAGAAUGCUGGCAUGAGUAGCGAAAAGGGAUGUGAGAAUCAUCCCCGUCGAAAGCCCAAGGAUUCCUGAGCAAGGCUCGUCCUCUCAGGGUAAGUCGGGACCUAAGGCGAGGCCGAAAGGCGUAGUCGAUGGACAACAGGUAGAAAUUCCUGUACUACAAGAUUGUGAUUGAGAGAAGUACUGACGCAGAAGGAAAAGUCGAGCGUGUGAAUGGUAGAACACGUCCAAGUAACAAGCCAGAAUAUACAGGCAAAUCCGUAUAUUCGUUAACGUAAGUUAUCAUGGGGAGCAGAAAGAUGCGAAGCGACAGAUUCAAACUGCCAAGAAAAGGUGCUAUCGAAUAAUCUUGUACCCGUACCGCAAACCGACACAGGUAGGCAAGAAGAGAAUUCUAAGACGCGCGGAAGAACCUUUGUUAAGGAACUCGGCAAAAUAAUCCCGUAAGUUAGCGAGAAGGGAUGCCUAAGAAAUUAGGUCGCAGAGAAUAGGCCCAAGCGACUGUUUACCAAAAACACAAGUAUCUGCUAAAUCGAAAGAUGAAGUAUAGGUGCUGACACCUGCCCGGUGCUGGAAGGUCAAGGGGACUUGUUAGAGCAAUCGAAGCAACGAACUUAAGCCCCAGUAAACGGCGGCCGUAACUAUAACGGUCCUAAGGUAGCGAAAUUCCUUGUCGGGUAAGUUCCGACCCGCACGAAAGGUGUAACGA
This 2078-nucleotide ribosomal RNA is filed under the name Clostridioides difficile. RNAcentral's name for it is "partial 23S ribosomal RNA". It matches the Rfam family "Bacterial large subunit ribosomal RNA", at positions 1 to 2007 of the family's 2925-position model. The record is from RNAcentral. Lineage: Bacteria; Bacillati; Bacillota; Clostridia; Peptostreptococcales; Peptostreptococcaceae.